This is a long non-coding RNA of Gossypium arboreum, 606 nucleotides long. RefSeq lists it as uncharacterized. The record is from RefSeq and is a predicted model, not a curated record. NCBI's taxonomy places the organism in Eukaryota, Viridiplantae, Streptophyta, Magnoliopsida, Malvales, Malvaceae. The transcript is spliced from 2 exons.
GGUCGGAUUCAGGGGUAAAACGAUGCCGUUUUGAACAUUUGAGGCCAGUCCCAAAACGACGUCAUUUUGGGCCUAUAAAAGUCAAUUUUUUGACAAAAACUUUCAUUUUUCACCUGUUUCAAAAAAAAAAAAAAUUCUUCUUUCUCUUUGGGCAUAGCCCAGAAUCCGGCUAGGUUCAGGCGAACCACUGCCGCGCCAACUGCCAGUAGCCGGCGACGUUGCCGCCGUCUACGGCGACCAAAAAACAAAAAAUUUCCUCUCUUUUUUUUUGACGAUCUGAAAUAGGUGGAUGGGUAGUGCUGACACGGGCGGUGGAGUAAUGGCGGUUGGCAGACCUUUUUUUUUUUUUGAUUAUUUAGGGUAUUGGGCUGUAUUGUGGGGUCUGGUUUUGGGCUAAUGGUUCAGGUUCAGGUUGGGUUUAAUUGGUAUGGUUUGGGUUUUGGUUUUGUAUUAGUUUUGGUUUAAUUUAUUUGGGCUGUGGUGUGUUGGGUUUGGUUAAUUGAUUUUGGUUUAGUUUGGGGUGGCUGUUUAGUUUAGGGUCUUUAUUAGGCCCCGAGCCUAAUUGGGCUUGUACAUAAGCAAAAUAAUAUUAAUUUUAUUUUUUUA